CUACGGGUCGCUCCAGUCGAGAAUAGUCUACAAUGGACGAAAGUCUGAUAGUGCGACGCCGCGUGGAUGAAGAAGCAUUUCGGUGUGUAAAGUCCUUUUCUGUGUGAGCAAUGUUUUCCAGGUUAAUAGCUUGGAGAAAGCGAUAUUAACACAGGAAUAAGCUCCGGCUGACUCCGUGCCAGCAGCCGCGGUAACACGGGGGGAGCAAGCGUUGUCCGGAAUUACUAGGCGUAAAGGGUAAGUAGGCGGAAUUGUAAGUCAGAUGUUAAAGGCACCGGCUCAACCGGUGUAUGGCAUUUGAUACUGUAAUUCUAGAGUAAGGUGGGGGAAGACGGAAUUCCUGGUGUAGCGGUGGAAUGCGCAGAUAUCAGGAGGAACACCAGAGGCGCAGGCGGUCUUCUAUACCAUUACUGACGCUCAAUUACGAAGGUGUGGGUAUCAAACAGGAUUAGAUACCCCGGUAGUC
RNAcentral lists this ribosomal RNA (466 nucleotides) under uncultured bacterium. RNAcentral's name for it is "partial 16S ribosomal RNA". It matches the Rfam family "Bacterial small subunit ribosomal RNA", at positions 339 to 795 of the family's 1533-position model. The record is from RNAcentral.